ACACACACACCAGGAAUGAACCACCAACUAACAUGUACAACACACCAGGAAUGAACCACCAACUAACAUGUACAACACACACACACACACCAGGAAUGAACCACCAACUAACAUGUAAUAUAAUAAUAAUAUAUGCCAUUUAGCAGACGCUUUUAUCCAAAGCGACUUACAGUCGUGUGCAUACAUUCUACAAUGUGUGCAUACAUUCUACGUAUGGGUGGUCCCGGGAAUCGAACCCACUACCCUGGCGUUACAAGCGCCAUGCUCUACCAACUGAGCUACAGAAGGACCACACAACACACACACAGGAAUGAACCACCAACUAACAUGUACAACACACACACACACACACACACACACCAGGAAUGAACCACCAACUAACAGGUACAACACACACACACACACCAGGAAUGAACCACCAACUAACAGGUACAACACACACACACACACACCAGGAAUGAACCACCAACUAAUAGGUACAACACACACACACCAGGAAUGAACCACCAACUAAUAGGUACAACACACACACACACACCAGGAAUGAACCACCAACUAAUAGGUACAACACACACACACACACCAGGAAUGAACCACCAACUAAUAGGUACAACACACACACACACACCAGGAAUGAACCACCAACUAAUAGGUACAACACACACACACACACCAGGAAUGAACCACCAACUAAUAGGUACAACACACACACACACCAGGAAUGAACCACCAACUAAUAGGUACAACACACACACACACACCGGGAAUGAACCACCAACUAAUAGGUACAACACACACACACACCAGGAAUGAACCACCAACUAAUAGGUACAACACACACACACACACCAGAAAUGAACCACCAACUAAUAGGUACAACACACACACACACUAGGAAUGAACCACCAACUAAUAGGUACAACACACACACACACACACACCAGGAAUGAACCACCAACUAAUAGGUACAACACACACACACCAGGAAUGAACCACCAACUAAUAGGUACAACACACACACACCAGGAAUGAACCACCAACUAAUAGGUACAACACACACACACACCGGAAAUGAACCACCAACUAAUAGGUACAACACACACACACACACCAGGAAUGAACCACCAACUAAUAGGUACAACACACACACACCAGGAAUGAACCACCAACUAAUAGGUACAACACACACACACACCAGGAAUGAACCACCAACUAAUAGGUACAACACACACACACACCAGGAAUGAACCACCAACUAAUAGGUACAACACACACACACACACCAGGAAUGAACCACCAACUAAUAGGUACAACACACACACACACCAGGAAUGAACCACCAACUAAUAGGUACAACACACACACACCAGGAAUGAACCACCAACUAAUAGGUACAACACACACACACCAGGAAUGAACCACCAACUAAUAGGUACAACACACACACACCGGGAAUGAACCACCAACUAAUAGGUACUACUGUAGUUUUCAAAGUGAUUUUACCUCUGUCAGAAAUGUCCUAAUGGGCAAGAUGCUGGAACAAAAGCUGGCAGCCAGUGCUUAAUUUGAGCCGGGUUCCUGCCGGGAAACGGGAUCCGACACCUGUCUGUUUUGGACUGUUUCGGUCCGGGAACCUAUUUGGCCGGAUCCGAUAUCUCUUUGUGGCUCAAAAAAAUAAAUGUCACUUUUUUCAAUGUAAAAAUGUGAAUAAAAGCGGCCAAAGUGUCAUUUCGAGUUGCCUCUUGGUGAAUUGUCCUCCUGUAACCCGCGUGGCCGUGGCUGUAUGAGUAGCACGCUUGUAACUCUCACAAGAACUAGAAUGACAUUCCCUUUCCAGCAUCUCUCUCUGCUCUGCUAGACGUGAGCCUGCAACUCUCAUCCCUCCAGAGUUGCACUUCAUCAUUUAUUUAUAGAACCAUAGCAAAGAGUUCUGGAGGAGCUGCAACACCCUUCAUAGAUUGAAAUACAUUAGCCAAAGUUAGUGUUACUGCUGUCUGUCCAAAAUCAAUGAAAUAAUUCAGUAUAGCCUACCUACUACAUCAUGAUUAGGCCUAGAAUUGAGCCACAUAGGGUCAGUAGCUUCUUUGAAACAAUUACCUAGCUGUGGAUUGAGUGUAUCCCAAUAACAAGACACAGCCUACAGUUGGGAACGCGCCGCAAAUCGGUCAGUGAGCAGCAUGCCAGACAAAACGGGUUGGAAAGCAAAUGGUUCCUGCUGAAAAGACAAUACUAUUGAUCUGUCUGCUCUAGGCGAACAAAAUGUUUGAACGGCUUCCAAAUAUUGUUUUACAAAGCAAAACGAGCGAGCUGCGCGUCAUCGGGUGACACUGGAAAGCAUUUUUGGGACGCUCAUUUCCUCCAACAAUAUGCGUCUCCACACACCUCGACCUCUAGGCUAUUGAUGGAUUCAUGACCAGGUCGUUUUUUAUUGAUCUAUAAGAGUUUCAGUUUGUGAGUGUCAAAGUAAGCCUGUCAUUUCAUUUGAGCGGAGUUGAAACAAAUUCUGCCGGUCUCCAGUCAAGUCAGAUGACGUAGAAUUAGCAUGAAAUGCGUUUUUACAAAAGGCCAUAUUUUUCCCCGGACCCUAGGCUACUAAAUAAAUGUACCCCAAAGUGGUGCACCUUCUGUAAGUGCCUCUACUCUACUGCUCUGUGCCACUGCGCAAAUCAAAUCACAUUUUAUUGGUCACCUACACGUGUCUCGCAGAUGUUAUCGCGAGCGUAGCGAAAUGCUUGUGUUGUAAUGUAACAAUUUCACAACAAUGCGACGAUAUGCAUGCAAUGCUUUUUUUUUUAAGUAGAUUUAUUUCGUUAUCAUGCGAUCCGGUAGCUGAGCUCCCCCAGGUCGUCACCCCCCCGCGCUCACUUUUUGUUUUGGCACCUCCCCAUUUACACAUUUAAGCACUGCUGGCAGCCUCCUGGACUAGAAUUUGCCCUGCAAUUGCAAAGAUUAGCUGUCAUCACGUAAAUAAUGAGAGAGAUGCUUACCACAUUAAAAUACUGCACACCCCUUGAGAACAGAGACGGAGCUCAACGUUAAAUCAAAUCAAAGUUUAUUUGUGAUGUACGCAGGAUACAGCGGGCGUAAGCAGUGCAAUGACAUGCCUACAGAAAAGGAGUUGUCUCCUUAUUCCUGCCCAUUCUUCUCCCCGGAGAGCCAUGUAGACCCCUUGCUAGCAUCAGAUCCAACACUCCGCCCAACCCGUCCCAAACAAUCACACCCUCUUCUUAUCUGACGUUGUUGUCUGAGAUCUAAACCGUUGGCUUGUGUUGACGUCGUUCUUAAAGGCCCAAAACAUUUAAUCUCAACAACAGCCCCAUGAUAAUCCUCUAAAAUGUGACACCCCCCCCCCCUCCCAGUCCCCCUUCGUCCUGGUCUCCCUUCAUCCCUCCCCGGAAUGAAAACAUACAGGUCAUAAUCUCAUCACGGAGAGAGAAUAAUCCUCUGUCGUCCUCUCCCUCAUCCCUCCCUCCAUUUAUCUCCCUAUUUUUUUAUGACUCUCCAUGUCUGAUGUUUUCACUUUAAAUAUGUUGUGUUGAUGAAUGGAGGAUGUCUUGAGGGGAAUGAAUAACCUACUAUUAUUUGUUUUCCUUUAUCUUCUCUAUCGUUCUCUCUCGCUCUUUCUUUCUCCAU
Molecule: long non-coding RNA, 3633 nt
Organism: Oncorhynchus keta (chum salmon)
Lineage: Eukaryota; Metazoa; Chordata; Actinopteri; Salmoniformes; Salmonidae
Exons: 7
Source: RefSeq, a predicted model, not a curated record